CUACGGGGAGCUCCAGUGAGGAAUAUUGCACAAUGGGGGGAACCCUGAUGCAGCAACGCCGCGUGGAGGAUGACGCAUUUCGGUGUGUAAACUCCUUUUAUAUGUCAAGAAAAUGACGGUAGCAUAUGAAUAAGCACCGGCUAACUCCGUGCCAGCAGCCGCGGUAAUGCGGAGGGUGCAAGCGUUACUCGGAAUCACUGGGCGUAAAGGACGCGUAGGCGGGUUGGAAAGUCAGGUGUGAAAUCCUACAGCUUAACUGUAGAACUGCACUUGAAACUUCUAAUCUAGAGUAUGGGAGGGGGAGAUGGAAUUAGUGGUGUAGGGGUAAAAUCCGUAGAUAUCACUAGGAAUACCUAAAGCGAAGGCGAUCUUCUGGAACAUUACUGACGCUAAGGCGUGAAAGCGUGGGGAGCAAACAGGAUUAGAUACCCGUGUAGUC
Molecule: ribosomal RNA, 439 nt
Filed under: uncultured bacterium
Lineage: Bacteria
Description: partial 16S ribosomal RNA
Rfam family: Bacterial small subunit ribosomal RNA
Source: RNAcentral